Molecule: long non-coding RNA, 529 nt
Filed under: Gallus gallus (chicken)
Lineage: Eukaryota; Metazoa; Chordata; Aves; Galliformes; Phasianidae
Description: lncRNA (ENSGALG00010026662.1)
Source: RNAcentral
ACAGACUCCAGUGCCAGGAGGCAAUCCUCUGAUUUCACCACAGCAUGUCUGGAGAGAUGCCAGAGCCACGCACAGCCUCCCAAGCACACUUGCAAGGGCUGUCAAUUUCACUGUGAUUAAAGCACCUGGCUUUUGGAGAAAGGGAGAUGAAAAGGUACUUAGCAGUGAUUUAUUCCUGCUCACAGUCACUCCUUCUCUACACUGAGCCGCCUGGAUACAAUUAGGAAAACAUUCCAUUGGCAAAAGUGGCCUAGAAGAUCACAUUUGGUUACAGAAGAACCCAAAAGACUCAAGACAACACUCUGAAAACCAUCAAAAUGGUCUCUGAGCAUGUUCAUCUAAAUAUUAGUAACUGAAAAUUUUAUAGCAACGUUUUACUUAAUUUUCUUAACAGCAAAGCACUUGGAAAAUAUGAAAAGUUUGGUUCUAGGUAUGUUGCCAAUCUGCUUAUAGGGUCAAAAAAACCACAGUGACAUUCUCUGCUAUUUUCAUAAUACAUCACAUGUCUGACCAAAGGCCACCAAAACCA